UGUGGUUCAUAAUAAACAGGAAGCCG
This 26-nucleotide non-coding RNA is filed under the name Homo sapiens (human). Lineage: Eukaryota; Metazoa; Chordata; Mammalia; Primates; Hominidae. The record is from RNAcentral.